GGCCUUGACAUACUAAGAACUUUCCAGAGAUGGAUUGGUGCCUUCGGGAACUUAGAUACAGGUGCUGCAUGGCUGUCGUCAGCUCGUGUCGUGAGAUGUUGGGUUAAGUCCCGNAACGAGCGCAACCCUUUUCCUUAUUUGCCAGCGGGUCAUGCCGGGAACUUUAAGGAUACUGCCAGUGACAAACUGGAGGAAGGCGGGGACGACGUCAGGUCAUCAUGGCCCUUACGGCCAGGGCUACACACGUGCUACAAUGGUCGGUACAAAGGGUUGCUACCUCGCGAGAGGAUGCUAAUCUCAAAAAGCCGAUCGUAGUCCGGAUCGCAGUCUGCAACUCGACUGCGUGAAGUCGGAAUCGCUAGUAAUCGCGGAUCAGAAUGCCGCGGUGAAUACGUUCCCGGGCCUUGUACACACCGCCCGUCACACCAUGGGAGUUUGUUGCACCAGAAGUAGGUAGUCUAACCGCAAGGAGGACGCUUACCACGGUGUGGCCGAUGACUGGGGUGAAGUCGUAACAAGGUAGGCGUAGAUGA
RNAcentral lists this ribosomal RNA (533 nucleotides) under uncultured bacterium. Its description in RNAcentral is "bacterial SSU rRNA". It matches the Rfam family "Bacterial small subunit ribosomal RNA", at positions 977 to 1509 of the family's 1533-position model. The record is from RNAcentral.